This 976-nucleotide ribosomal RNA is filed under the name uncultured bacterium. Its description in RNAcentral is "bacterial SSU rRNA". It matches the Rfam family "Bacterial small subunit ribosomal RNA", at positions 338 to 1311 of the family's 1533-position model. The record is from RNAcentral.
CCUACGGGAGGCAGCAGUCGAGAAUUUUUCUCAAUGGGGGAAACCCUGAAGGAGCGACGCCGCGUGGAGGAUGAAGGUCUUCGGAUUGUAAACUCCUGUCAUUUGGGAACAAGGGUUACACGUUAACUGCGUGUGGCUUGAUAGUACCAGAAGAGGAAGGGACGGCUAACUCUGUGCCAGCAGCCGCGGUAAUACAGAGGUCCCGAGCGUUGUUCGGAUUCAUUGGGCGUAAAGGGUGCGUAGGCGGCGGGGCAAGUCGGAUGUGAAAUCCCGGGGCUCAACCCUGGAACUGCAUUCGAUACUGCCUUGCUUGAGUACUGGAGAGGGAACUGGAAUUUACGGUGUAGCAGUGAAAUGCGUAGAUAUCGUAAGGAAGACCAGUGGCGAAGGCGAGUUCCUGGACAGUUACUGACGCUGAGGCACGAAGGCCAGGGGAGCAAACGGGAUUAGAUACCCCGGUAGUCCUGGCAGUAAACGGUGCGCGUUUGGUGUGGAGGGAUUCGACCCCUUCCGUGCCGGAGCUAACGCGUUAAACGCGCCGCCUGGGGAGUACGGUCGCAAGAUUAAAACUCAAAGAAAUUGACGGGGGCCCGCACAAGCGGUGGAGUAUGUGGCUUAAUUCGAUGCAACGCGAAGAACCUUACCUGGGCUUGACAUGCAUCUCUAAGUCGGUGAAAGCCGGCGAGUGGAGCAAUCCACAAUUUGCACAGGUGCUGCAUGGCUGUCGUCAGCUCGUGUCGUGAGAUGUUGGGUUAAGUCCCGCAACGAGCGCAACCCCUGUGAACUGUUGCCACUCCCUUAACUGAAGCACUCUGUUCAGACUGCCCUGUGAAACGGGGAGGAAGGUGGGGAUGACUUCAAGUCAACAUGGCCCCUAUCUCCAGUGCUGCUCCGUACUACAUGCUCACAUAUAAUAGCCGAAGCUCGCGAGGCCGACGAAUCUCUAAACCGAGCUCAUCUGAUUCGCUGCUUCUAU